RNAcentral lists this ribosomal RNA (468 nucleotides) under uncultured bacterium. Its description in RNAcentral is "partial 16S ribosomal RNA". The stretch from base 62 to 468 matches the Rfam family "Bacterial small subunit ribosomal RNA", at positions 39 to 507 of the family's 1533-position model. The record is from RNAcentral.
GGGGGGGGGGGGGGGGGGGGGGGGGGGGGGGGGGGGGGGGGGGGGGGGGGGGGGGGGGGGGGGGGCGCGAGGGGCGGAGGGGGGAGGAGCACGGGGGGAGCCUGCCCUGGACGGUGGGAUAACGGCAGGAAACUGGGGGUAAUACCGGAUAGGAGCUCCUGCUGCAUGGUGGGGGUUGGAAAGGUUCGGCGGUUGGGGAUGGACUCGCGGCUUAUCAGCUUGUUGGUGGGGUAGUGGCUUACCACGGCUUUGGCGGGUAGCCGGCCUGGGAGGGUGACCGGCGACAUUGGGACUGAGAUACGGACCAGACUCCUACGGGAGGCAGUGGUGGGGAGUUUUGCGCAGUGGGCGGGAGCGUGAGGCAGCAGCGCCGCGUGCGGGGUGACGGGCUUCGGGUGGUAAACCGCUUUCGCCUGUGACGAGGCGUGAGUGACGGUAACGGGUAAAGAAGCACCGGCUAACUACGUG